This 468-nucleotide ribosomal RNA is filed under the name uncultured bacterium. RNAcentral's name for it is "partial 16S ribosomal RNA". It matches the Rfam family "Bacterial small subunit ribosomal RNA", at positions 28 to 507 of the family's 1533-position model. The record is from RNAcentral.
GACGAACGCUGGCGGCGUGCUUAACACAUGCAGGUCGAACGGAAAGGCCCUGCUUUUGUGGGGUGCUCGAGUGGCGAACGGGUGAGUAACACGUGAGUAACCUGCCCUUGACUUUGGGAUAACUUCAGGAAACUGGGGCUAAUACCGGAUAGGAGCUCCUGCUGCAUGGUGGGGGUUGGAAAGUUUCGGCGGUUGGGGAUGGACUCGCGGCUUAUCAGCUUGUUGGUGGGGUAGUGGCUUACCAAGGCUUUGACGGGUAGCCGGCCUGAGAGGGUGACCGGCCACAUUGGGACUGAGAUACGGCCCAGACUCCUACGGGAGGCAGCAGUGGGGAAUAUUGCACAAUGGGCGGAAGCCUGAUGCAGCAACGCCGCGUGCGGGAUGACGGCCUUCGGGUUGUAAACCGCUUUCGCCUGUGACGAAGCGUGAGUAACGGUAAUGGGUAAAGAAGCACCGGCUAACUACGUG